Molecule: long non-coding RNA, 1318 nt
Filed under: Heterocephalus glaber (naked mole-rat)
Lineage: Eukaryota; Metazoa; Chordata; Mammalia; Rodentia; Bathyergidae
Description: lncRNA (ENSHGLG00000045698.1)
Source: RNAcentral
CCACAGAGUCAUGUGUGGAAGAGUGCAAAAGGUCUGUUUGUGUGCUAGAGAUUCGAAGAGUCCAGUGGAAAGUGUGAAGUCCAUUGUACUGUGCAUGAGUCUGUUAUCAGAAGGCAAAAGGAUCUUUAAUAGAAGGCUGAAGAGUCCGUGCUGGAAACCAGGAGACAACGUCCAAGAUGAAGGUGAACACUGGAGCCCCUCUGAAGAAACAAAAAAAGUGAGAGUUUCUCAUGCACAGAAUGUGCAUUAGUGGUGAUGGAAUUUCUUCUAGGAGACAGAGAAACCCACAGUAAUGGAUUAAAAGAACCUGACCAAAAAGAUAUGCAGCUAGAAGUAGCAGAUGACCCUUGUUAUGGCUUGGUUAUGUCCUCCAAGAUUGUUAUUGGAAGCAGCAGUUCCUGUAAGUUUGCCAGGCUGUCUUUGUGGGCUGAUUAAGAGUGCAAUUUUGAAGAAAAGAGGGAAGAUGGGAGAAGUGAAUAGUCAGCUAUAUUCAUGGUGUUGAAGAAAGAAUUUGGUUUGCUGGGAUACAGCCUGUGAUAACAGAACAAGGCCUGGAAAGAAACAGGUUAAGAUCUGGCCAUGGAGUUCAAGCUGGCCUUGGACUGACUGUAUAAUCAUAGGCUGGCCUCCAACUCACAGCAAUCCUCCUGUCUCAGCCUCUCAAGCACUGGAUUACAGGAAUGUGCCACCAUGCUCAGCGAAUUUUCUGUUUUUAUCCAAGUUUUCAGUUUGAUUUAUUUUAUCUACCUCCUCAACAUUGCUUUCUAACUCUUUUUUCUCUUAUAUUAAGCUCUUUUCUUUCCCUCAUUGGUUCUUUUUUUCUUUUUUAAAUUAGCAUCACUGAUGUUUCCUGUAGAUUCAUUUUUUUUAAGUCUUUUAUUUGUUUUUCAUUCAGUUUGUUUUCUAUUCCUUGCAUGUUUUCUGUUUUUCCCAAAUUGUUGUUUUUAUUUUCUUCUCUUAUAUAACUUUUUUACAAUGUUUAAUGAGCUUUCAUUAUAUGCUUAGAUUUUAAAUGUAGGCCACUAAAAAAGCAUGCACAUGUUUGUACAACUUGGUAUGAAUAAAUAUGUUACUGUGGAAAAAAUCUAGCUGGCUGAUGCCUCAGAUCAUCCCUGAUACAGGAAACUAGAAUUAUUUUUCUUUUCUCUUUGGUCUGGUUAAACUUCUAUAAGGAUUUCUGGUCUUUCUCCUGAAGGUUAAAUGUUUGGCAGCUUAAGAUCCCUGGGUAGUUACCAACCAGGAGCUUUCAAACUACCAUAUUUCCUUUAUGUUUUUUAGUUGAUAUCUUUAAAAUAUUUUUAUUAUUAUUAUAGUGAUG